UAUAUGUUAGAGUGUAAGCGAGGAAA
This 26-nucleotide non-coding RNA is filed under the name Cricetulus griseus (Chinese hamster). The record is from RNAcentral. Lineage: Eukaryota; Metazoa; Chordata; Mammalia; Rodentia; Cricetidae.